Molecule: long non-coding RNA, 5615 nt
Organism: Cynoglossus semilaevis (tongue sole)
Lineage: Eukaryota; Metazoa; Chordata; Actinopteri; Pleuronectiformes; Cynoglossidae
Exons: 12
Source: RefSeq, a predicted model, not a curated record
CGCCACACGAAGAACAGUCUAAACCGUUCUGUAAACUGCACCUAAACAUCAUGUUUUCUUGAACUGGCUUCACUUCUUAAGUUCUAUUUGAUUUGGCCACUGCGCUGUUACACGUUGGUGUUUUUCUGCUUUUUUUUCUGCCUCAUUCCUGCCUGGCUCCUGACUUCCAGGACGUUGGUGGUGAUCGUAGCUCAGGCCGACCCUCUCUGCAACAGAUACAAGUCAUUCCGCAGCGAUGUCAUGUCAGCUUCAUGCAGCGCUGCGGUCAUUUCUGUCUUUUGGCCUCACCACAAAUCACAGUGCAGGAUCCCACUUUUAUAAUUGUGUUUUCAUUAAAAUUACAGCAUCCGUGCUGCUUCAAGCGUUGGAUCGCGGCUCGUAACUAGCUCCAGGGAACGGUGGGGAACCACAAGUGCUGUGGAAAUGUUAUAUGCAAACAUAUCAAUUUGGGGACUGGGAUAUAAAUAUUUGGAUAUGCUCCGUCCUUUUAUUCAUCACAUUUUUUCUGUGCGGGGUCUAUCUAUCUUUUUCCAUUUUGGUCUUCAGUCACACAUCUACCAGCUGCAGAGGAUGUUUGAGUUUCGGCCCGUGGUUGGUGGGUGGGUGGGUAGGUUGUGUUAUUUGGAGUUCAGGACCACACUGUGGCACCAUAUUUUCCACGAGUAAAAAAAAACCCUUCAAAACAUUUCAAUAUCCCAAAGCAACAGUUAGGUUCAGAUUAGAGUUGUAAUCAGAGCUAAAGGUAAGAGGUUAAAGAAUUUAUGACAAUGUGAAGUGCCAACUCAUCACAUAAAUCACUGUGUGCGUGUGUGAGUGUGUGUGUAUGCAGCUGUGAGACUGUAUAUCACAGCAGAUCAAAGCGUCAGUCACCCAGUCAAAGGAAACCCUGCUGAUGACUUUGAUAACGUGCUAUCGGCUUAUUUGCUGCCUGCUCCAAAUAACAGGAAGUGAAGACAGAAGCGACUUCUCCCAUCAUUGUGCCAGACUUGUUUCCCCUCCUCCCUCCUCACACAGGGGGACAACCCAGCGCCGAGAUCAAAGACCUGGAUGUCGUUAAGGAGCCGGUAUAAAAGCGGGAGUCCCCCCGCCGGAUCUUCCUCUGCGUGUUACUUCCGGGUCAGAGGUCGAGUGCCCGACAGGACGACUGUUUGUGUGCUGCUCCGUGCCCCCUGUGUGUGCUGCUGCUGUGGUCGAUGGUCGGUGGUAAGUGUUGUUUCUCUCGGCGUUGUGCUUGCUGCUGCUCGGUGCCUAAUGCUGGUCUGGUCACAGGUGAAUGCUGGCGGCUGGAGUCCAAUCCUUCCUCCUCGUGAGUGUGUGUUCUGAGAAGGAACAAAUGCCGUCUUUAAGAUAUGGAUUCACUCAGACAGGACGCCGCUAAAGGCCUCGGUGAUACAUGCGCAGUAACCACAGAUUCCAUGACGUCAUUUUGAGGACAACACACGUAUAAUGUACCUGACCAAACCACCUGGGUCCAGACUGUCACGUCGAUCUUUAAACCACGGGAGAAAAUCCACAGCUUCUCAUCAACAUCUCUACUGUGAGUCGGCCUCCUGUUACGUAACCUCCUGUUCAGAUGCUCUGCCGCUGAUGAGACACUCCAACCCCCCACCUCAGAGUCAAGUUCAUGAACUGGAACUUCCUGAUGUCUCCACCUGAGUCCAUCUGGUCUGAAGAUGUGUUGAAUUUUACUACUGGUGAAGCGUGACUUCAUUAUUCACUCACAUUACAGUGGUCGCUGUUGUUUGACUGAACAGAUGCUGUUGUUUCUAAUGGAGUUGUUAGUUUAAACCUCAUCCAGAGUUCGUGCUUGAUCCUAGAUGAAGAAAGGAACGCUCGGUGGUUCGGCAGCGCAGCAGUGGAGACCAUUACACUUUUGGAAACACGUAACACAUUUCGUCUGAUCCUGGUCCUGGUCCUGCACUCACUCCAUACAGGAUGUCGGAUUUCUUUUUGUCAUCGAGCUCCAUCUGGCAGACGGACUCCUGUGAAAAAAACAGCUGCAGACACCAGUGGAAGAUGCAACAGGACAUCACUGCUAACGGUGAGAGACGAAAACCAAGUGGCUCCGUCCUGGUGCCCCGGGCUGGAAGCAGGACAGACGGUGACACCGUGCUUCAGGGGGCGUGGCCUGCGGGCUGGACCAUGUGUCCCGGCGGAUGCUGUGUGAGAGCCAGCUCACGCUCUGGAUGUGUCGCCAACCUAUUUCAGGUCCAAACUCACACACACACAAAUUCACACCUAUGCACUCACUUCACGGCCUCAGACCGACCAAACCUCAGGCUGCAGGGCCGAGCUGAGAAACAAGACUUCACACACACCUCUCCUCAGCACUUUGGACCGAUGCUAACUGCAGACUUCCACGUCGGUGCCGUAGCUGUUGCUCGAUGAAAAGCUCCAAUCAAAUCAUCUGCAAAUAUUUGUGUGAUUAUUAGCAGAAACUGAAGUGAGCAUGAAAUGAUGGCAGAGCCCUGAAUGACUCCACUCACAGACACACUCGCUUCAUUCACUCCCCGAACGACACUCUGCAAAUGUUUGGCUCUGGAAUGACCCUCUGCCCCCCCCCCGACCCCCCCCACCCCUCAGCGGCCGGUCCCACAGCUGGACCCUGCAGGAUCAGUCGGACAGAGAAACGACACCACAGGAAGGACCAGGUUUGUUGGGUGCUCAUGGUACUGGACUAGAUAUGUGGUCAGACAAGAGAAGAAAAGGGCCGGUUGUGAUGAGGCAGCAGUGUGACCCACUCAGCCACUGCGUGACUGGUUGUUGUCAGUCAGACUCCCAGACAGAGGGCGCUGAAGAGAGAAGCACAGACGAGGUCGACCGACAACUGCAGAAAGUUGUGUAAAAACUGCGUCCAUUCCGUGAUCAUCAGCUACAAAGAGUUAGUGGUUACUCUACCAGGUGCAGCCGGUCAGUCCUCCUCCUCCUCCUCCUCCUCCUCCUCCUCCUCUUCAUCGUUGAACAGCCUGUCAGGAGCCAAAGUCCCAAAAACCACAGCCUCAUUAGUCGUUACAUAACAGAAACCAUUUUCUCCUCUGCUCCUCUGCUGAUGGAUGUGCCCGGAACACCACGUCCUCAGGAUGGAGCACCCGGUGGUGAAGAGACUCCACUGCAACCUGGUGGAACUGACUUUUGACACACACCCACACGGUCACACCGAGUCCCAGGAGGUUACAGUUUCUUUAAAGACAGGAAAUAAUUAUCCAGCAGUCAGUUAGGAACCUGCCGCUGAGGUGUGUCCUCUUUCAGUGCAGGGAGAAGGAGCUGCAGAUCAAAUCUGAGUCUGCUGCAUAAAAUAUAAAAAAAAAGAGGAUGCAGAGAGUUCACUCGGUUUUUAACAUCUGCAAAUGUAGCUCCAAAGUUCGUUGGUUGAAACCAGGCACGGUCCAGAGAACGUUCUCCAAAGACCAGACCAUCCAGCGCGAUUCUGUCUGUUUUCUACAGAUUUUAAAAACAUUUUCUUCAGCUGUUUUAAUAAAGACACCGCCAGCGGAGAAAUGUAGAGAAAGUCAGCGUCUCACAAUGGACACUUGUGGCGACUCCAAGAUCAUCAGACUGCACUGACGUCUGUUCUUCACCACUAAAGAAGUCGUCACUUUCUUUCUCUUAAAGCUCUCAUUGUUAAUUCAUGGAGACGAAUGUGAUUCAAUAACAGCAGGAGUUAUGACAGAUUCAACUUCAACCACACGAGGCAGUAAAAACCCCACCAGGUUCAAUCCGUCGCUAACACCUGAACCUGAGGAGCCAAAUGAUGCAAGAUGACCAGCGGAGGCCGGAGACAGGCGAGUCUGGAGCGACGGGAUGACAUCAUCACACCUGCAGCGUGUGCAACUGUGGCGCGUUGACUUCAUCCCCGAGUGCUGGGAACCGAACAGCUGACCUCCUGUACGGUGCCGCUCUUGCAUGUCUCCUGUUGGCCUGCAGGUCAGUCAGCGCGCUGGGAUCCUGGAGCAGCUGACACAUCGAUGCGUCUGUGAGGCAAUAGCACAUACACACCGGUUUCAAACAGUCGCAUGUUGCUGCUGGAGACGACCGGUGAGAACAGUGAGGCCUGCGGUGGAACUGAACCAGCGCUCCUUGACUUUGGAUGGAGCCCAAACGGUGCCAAACUGAACUGUGGCUUCUUUGCUUCUGCUUCUGCUGAAAUGUGUGAACUUUCCAAGCGGCCGUGGGACGAGUGCCGGACGAUCUGAGGCUGUAUUUCUGCUCCAGUUCCAUCAGAACCUUGGUGACCGUAGCAAACCAGCUGGUUAACGCAACCAACUGAACAGAAAGUGAGCGGAGCUUCUUAUGCCGUUGCGGAAACGAUAAACAUUUCCUGCGUAUAAAAGGUCACUUAAAGUGAGUAAAUCUGUUUACGUGUAUCAGUUAAAGCCGUCUGAUGCUGACGGGACCGUCGGUGCGUGUCGAGCUCUAACCCACACGGUCGCCCUCCCUGUAGGUAAGAGGUAAAUUUAAUUUGUACUUCUGCAGAUUUAUUCCAUCACUCAAUCCGUGGAAGUGACAUUUGGAAAACCUCUCUGGUGUUGGCCCCUGCCCGUCAGCUUUAGCGAUCAUAAAGUAGUUCCAUAGUUCCAAAAUGGCUUUUCUCGGAAGUGUAUAAUUUGCCUUUUGAACCUGGCAAGUGGCAACUGCAAAGAAUCAAAGUGGGUUUUUCUUAACUUGCAGUAACCGGUAACGACCUCCAAAAUAAACUGAACGCAGCUUCAAUCUGGAAACCUACUGUUCGCAGCAGCUGGAGCCAGAAUUGAUCUUUGUUUCCAAAGCUAGCUUAAGGUCUUCUUCAGCAAAUAACUUCAAUAAUUCUUCAACAAAAAAACAAGUCAUAGACAUCAACAAUUUUAUCUUAAAGCUCGCUUUUCUUAAUAAAUAUGAAAUUUGUUUCAAGUGGACCAUCAGACUGGUGAUUAGAGGAGCUAAAUCUGGCCAAUGACAGUAAAAUCGCUUGUGGAAAAAAUAUUUUGACUAAUAACGACAGAUGUUAGCAAUUUUUGCAUAGAUCUGGUAUGUUUGAGCCAAACAUUUCUUGUAGCCAGCCCCUGCUGGCCAGUAUUAGUAUUACAGCCAAACUGGCAGUUGGCUUCGAAACAAAGUUUGGGAGGAACAGCCGUGGUUUAUAUACAGCGGUCGUUCCAACUGCCAUCACUGAUCCUUAUUUAAAUGUCUAAAAAUUGUAUAAUAAGCUGCUCCCAUUUUGUCCCAAUUUAAAUCUCAACAUUACUAAUAUAACAUGAACAAAGUGUUUUGUAAUAAGAUAUAUCACAUUAACAUUUUGACAUAAUUAAUGCUUAUAAAGCCAAGGGGUCACUAAAGGUCAUCAACCAAAAAAAAUCAAAAGGUUAGCUUUAAAAGUUCAGCAAGAAGUCUAAAAUAUUACUGUGAUCCAAUUUAUUUGACCCCAGUAAAAAACAUUUUUUCUCUAACUUCAUGCAUUACGUGACUUUUCUUGUAACAGUACAGUCCACGGUGGAUAGCUCUAUCUGACAGAAGUUGGCAGCAAAUCCCUCUGUCAGGACCCUCAUCUGGGUGGUCAGCACUUAAAGACGUGCGGUGUCAUCUAGUGGUGCAAAACCAAAAGAAAAAAACUGCACAAAUUGCACAAAAGUCAAAGAAGA